Small nucleolar RNA from Dioscorea cayenensis subsp. rotundata (Guinea yam), 106 nucleotides. Lineage: Eukaryota; Viridiplantae; Streptophyta; Magnoliopsida; Dioscoreales; Dioscoreaceae. The record is from RefSeq and is a predicted model, not a curated record.
AUUCCAUGUUACAGCCAUUUCCUUAAUACUCUUUAUAUCUCUCCUAUGUUUCAUACAAUGAUUCAGACUCCAAUUGAUGAAAAGAAGAAAUAUCACUUCUAAGUUU